AUUGAACGCUGGCGGCAGGCUUAACACAUGCAAGUCGAGCGGGGAAGGGUAGCUUGCUACCUAACCUAGCGGCGGACGGGUGAGUAAUGCUUAGGAAUCUGCCAUUUAGUGGGGGACAACAUUCCGAAAGGAAUGCUAAUACCGCAUACGUCCUACGGGAGAAAGCAGGGGAUCUUCGGACCUUGCGCUAAAUGAUGAGCCUAAGUCGGGUUAGCUAGUUGGUGGGGUAAAGGCCUACCAAGGCGACGAUCUGUAGCGGGUCUGAGAGGAUGAUCCGCCACACUGGGACUAAGACACGGCCCAGACUCCUACGGGAGGCAGCAGUGGGGAAUAUUGGACAAUGGGCGGAAGCCUGAUCCAGCCAUGCCGCGUGUGUGAAGAAGGCCUUAUGGUUGUAAAGCACUUUAAGCGAGGAGGAGGCUACUUAGAUUAAUACUCUAGGAUAGUGGACGUUACUCGCAGAAUAAGCACCGGCUAACUCUGUGCCAGCCGCCGCCGUAA
This 501-nucleotide ribosomal RNA is filed under the name uncultured bacterium. Its description in RNAcentral is "partial 16S ribosomal RNA". It matches the Rfam family "Bacterial small subunit ribosomal RNA", at positions 30 to 523 of the family's 1533-position model. The record is from RNAcentral.